This is a long non-coding RNA of Myxocyprinus asiaticus (Chinese sucker), 430 nucleotides long. RefSeq lists it as uncharacterized. The transcript is spliced from 2 exons. Lineage: Eukaryota; Metazoa; Chordata; Actinopteri; Cypriniformes; Catostomidae. The record is from RefSeq and is a predicted model, not a curated record.
GGCAUUUAAACUUCCCAUUCCUGUGAAUGAAUCCUAACGGCGUUCUCGCGAUCGCGUCCCGUCCUGCGCGAGUGAAGAGUCGGCUCCCUGAGAUGAUGCUCCGGAGACUUCUAACGACGCUGCUGUGGUCCGCUGAAAUGAGCAAGACGCUGAGACUACAGACUGAGAUUUCACCCUCGUCACUUGCGCACUGGCAAGCAGAGAGGGAGAGAGGAACGACCUGUACGUAAAGAGUCGAGGAGUAUCUGAUUUUGCAGUUGUUCAUUGUCAUUAUGGCCAACAUUUACUACACGACAUGUGGAAUUUACUAUGAUAAAGACCACAUUGUCUUAUCAAACACUACUGUUUCAGAUGACUUGGGUUCUAAAAAGACUAUGUGUAAACUGUUCAGCUGACAUUCAUCAAAUGCAAAAAAAAAAAAAAAAAGAAA